This 365-nucleotide long non-coding RNA is filed under the name Chloebia gouldiae (Gouldian finch). Its description in RNAcentral is "Erythrura gouldiae (Gouldian finch) lncRNA (ENSEGOG00005004056.1)". Lineage: Eukaryota; Metazoa; Chordata; Aves; Passeriformes; Passeridae. The record is from RNAcentral.
CUAAUGUUAAGAAUCAACUUACUCUGAAAGAAGUGUUUGGACAUAGUUGCAUUUCCCCUGUCUCAGAUCACCAUCAAUUUGUCUCAUUGAGGAAAGACACCACAUCUAUAUCUUUUCCAAUUACUUUGUAAUAUGUGGUGAAAUGAGGGCAAUAUUUGGUCCUGCGUAAAAUCAUGAAAGAUGGAAAUACCAGAUAGCUUAAAAUUGACACUACAGUCCUCUGUUUUGAUACGUGAAAGUCUCCCAUCAUUUCCAUCCCUUCAGGAGGACACCCAAAGACACAUUGGAUGUCCAGAUCUCUGCGCUUCUAAGUUGUGCCUUCUCCUUUUCUCCAUCAUACUGAAUUGAGAGUUAUUAUUCUAGAA